GUGCUCACUUCGGCAGCGCAUAGACUAAAAUUGGAACGAUACAGAGAUUAGCAUGGCCCCUGCGCAAAGGAUGACACGCAAAUUCGUGAAGCGUUCCAUAUAAAA
Small nuclear RNA from Myotis lucifugus (little brown bat), 105 nucleotides. Lineage: Eukaryota; Metazoa; Chordata; Mammalia; Chiroptera; Vespertilionidae. The record is from Ensembl.